RNAcentral lists this long non-coding RNA (1097 nucleotides) under Ricinus communis (castor bean). RNAcentral describes it as "long non-coding RNA (RCOM_LNC003255)". Lineage: Eukaryota; Viridiplantae; Streptophyta; Magnoliopsida; Malpighiales; Euphorbiaceae. The record is from RNAcentral.
AUUAUUAUCUGACACGUCUCUCGUUAGAGUUCAGGUAGGACGGGUAUGUGAAAGCACCUGCUCCGCCCAUCCCUACCUGUAUGUCUCAUCAAGUGUUUCUUCUUUAUCUUGGAUUUUCUCUUUACUUUUUCUUUUUCUUCUUCCACUUCUUGUUCCUAAAGUUGUUCUUGUUCUUGUUCUUGCUGUGUUGUAAAUCUUGAUGCGGAGUGAAAUGGGCAGUGGCAGUAGUAGUAGUAGUUGUUGCAAUAGAGGUAUUUGUUUCUUUAUUGUUGGUUAGUUAUUUAUAAAAGUAAUAGAUUAGAGAUUGCUCUCACUCCCCGGAUAUAAGUGUGAAAUGAAUUUGUCAAAAUGUCUCUCAAUGCUAAUAUAAUGUUUAUAAUUUCUUUUUCAACCUUACCACAAAUCCCAAUUCAACUUUAUUUUCUUGUCAAAUUAUAUAGCAUUAUUCAUAAAAGAAAAAGAAAACUUUGUUUGUACAUUAUUGUUCAUAAAAAGGGUUAUAACAUUAUUCUGUAAUCAAGAGCACCAAUCCAGAUUUCACUAACCUUAUAAAAAUCCAACAAAAAAAAAUUAAAAAUUUACUAAUUAGCUACAAUUUAUAACAAAUAAUGAACAAUUAUUUUCUGUAAUUAGUGUAAGCUCCAUGACCUCUUUAGCUCUAGUGACCACGGCCUCUAGGGCUAGGUCCUGAAGCUAACCGUUCAAGCCAACAUGACAUGUGACUCUUUGCCUUUUCGUACACUGACGAAUACGUCUCCAAAUGGUUGGUACUCGCAAAAUCUUCCGGUAGCACUCUAGUCGCCUCGACCCUGACCUGGCUUAAAAUAGCUAAAGUAAUUAAGAAAAUAACCAAAAAAAUGGUUGUUUUUCUGCAAUUCAUCGUCUUGAUCCUCAAAAAAGGUAUAUAAAUUGCUGAGAAUUUUUUCAAAAAAUGAAGUUAAAAUUUUUGUAUUUUGUUGUACUAGUUUGUUUGCUCAAAACUAGCUUUUGGGGUGCCUCUUUGUGGAUUGUUUAUGUAUGAAGAGGAUGAGAUGCAAAGACAAGAGAGUUUUGAAGUAUUUAUAGUAUAGCACAACUGUUGAAGUCCUGUGUGUGGG